RNAcentral lists this transfer RNA (92 nucleotides) under Polyporus arcularius HHB13444. It matches the Rfam family "tRNA". From Rfam's summary of the family: Transfer RNA (tRNA) molecules are approximately 80 nucleotides in length. Their secondary structure includes four short double-helical elements and three loops (D, anti-codon, and T loops). The record is from Rfam by way of RNAcentral. Lineage: Eukaryota; Fungi; Basidiomycota; Agaricomycetes; Polyporales; Polyporaceae.
GGUGAGAUGGCCGAGCGGUCUAAGGCGCCAGACUAAGGCAGCUGCCGGUAAUCUGGUCCGAAAGGGCGUGGGUUCGAAUCCCGCUCUCAUCA